Molecule: regulatory RNA element, 97 nt
Organism: Firmicutes bacterium CAG:102
Lineage: Bacteria; Bacillati; Bacillota
Rfam family: S10-Clostridia ribosomal protein leader
Source: Rfam
AUAGAGUGUUGAUACGGAAGGUUGCCGAAGCCGAUGAAUCAAGGGCUUACGGGUUUUUCCGAGGAGCGAUGUCCAGUUCAAAGAAACCGGGCGACAA